AUCCUUUUACCAGCAGCUCGAGAU
Molecule: small nuclear RNA, 24 nt
Filed under: Arabidopsis thaliana (thale cress)
Lineage: Eukaryota; Viridiplantae; Streptophyta; Magnoliopsida; Brassicales; Brassicaceae
Description: snRNA_04316
Source: RNAcentral